This 176-nucleotide unclassified non-coding RNA is filed under the name uncultured Sebacinaceae. RNAcentral's name for it is "sequence contains ITS1". Lineage: Eukaryota; Fungi; Basidiomycota; Agaricomycetes; Sebacinales; Sebacinaceae. The record is from RNAcentral.
AUGAUUGCGAAUGGUUACCUUUGGUGCUGGCUCUCGCGAGCAAGAGGCCAAAGGUUCACAAGGGUAGUAGUGGAUGAAAGCCACCAAUGUGCACUUGCUCGCUUCGGCUGGCAGAGGAUUUUUACACACACACUCGAAUGUAAUGAAAACGUUUGUCGUGCGCAAGCACUAAUGUA